This 335-nucleotide ribosomal RNA is filed under the name uncultured bacterium. Its description in RNAcentral is "bacterial SSU rRNA". It matches the Rfam family "Bacterial small subunit ribosomal RNA", at positions 8 to 334 of the family's 1533-position model. The record is from RNAcentral.
AGGGUUCGAUUAUGGCUCAGGAUGAACGCUAGCUACAGGCUUAACACAUGCAAGUCGAGGGGCAGCGGGAUUGAAGCUUGCUUCAAUUGCCGGCGACCGGCGCACGGGUGAGUAACACGUAUCCAACCUUCCGUUUACUCGGGGAUAGCCUUUCGAAAGAAAGAUUAAUACCCGAUAGUAUGGUGAGAUUGCAUGAUAACACCAUUAAAGAUUCAUUGGUAAACGAUGGGGAUGCGUUCCAUUAGGUAGUAGGCGGGGUAACGGCCCACCUAGCCUACGAUGGAUAGGGGUUCUGAGAGGAAGGUCCCCCACAUUGGAACUGAGACACGGUCCAA